This 630-nucleotide ribosomal RNA is filed under the name uncultured bacterium. RNAcentral describes it as "bacterial SSU rRNA". It matches the Rfam family "Bacterial small subunit ribosomal RNA", at positions 31 to 654 of the family's 1533-position model. The record is from RNAcentral.
GAACGCUGGCGGCGGCUUACACAUGCAAGUCGAGCGGUAACAUUUCUAGCUUGCUAGAAGAUGACGAGCGGCGGACGGGUGAGUAACGCGUAGGAAUCUGCCUAGUAGUGGGGGACAACAUGUGGAAACGCAUGCUAAUACCGCAUACGCCCUACGGGGGAAAGGAGGGGAUCUUCGGACCUUUCGCUAUUAGAUGAGCCUGCGUGAGAUUAGCUAGUUGGUGGGGUAAAGGCCUACCAAGGCGACGAUCUCUAGCUGGUCUGAGAGGAUGAUCAGCCACACUGGGACUGAGACACGGCCCAGACUCCUACGGGAGGCAGCAGUGGGGAAUAUUGGACAAUGGGCGCAAGCCUGAUCCAGCCAUGCCGCGUGUGUGAAGAAGGCCUUAGGGUUGUAAAGCACUUUCAGGAGUGAGGAAGGGCGUAUAGUUAAUACCUGUAUGUUUUGACGUUAACUCCAGAAGAAGCACCGGCUAACUCUGUGCCAGCAGCCGCGGUAAUACAGAGGGUGCGAGCGUUAAUCGGAAUUACUGGGCGUAAAGCGCGCGUANGCGGUUUGUUAAGUCGGAUGUGAAAUCCCAGGGCUCAACCUUGGAAUGGCACCCGAUACUGGCAGGCUAAAGUACGGUAG